Molecule: long non-coding RNA, 2114 nt
Organism: Oreochromis niloticus (Nile tilapia)
Lineage: Eukaryota; Metazoa; Chordata; Actinopteri; Cichliformes; Cichlidae
Exons: 3
Source: RefSeq, a predicted model, not a curated record
UUGAGCAGAAAGCGCGGAGAGACAAGUCGAAAAGAAAAGACGGAAGAGCGCUGAUGAGGAAAAGCAGAAAGAAAGACUUUAACUGAGCUUGAAAUGAAACAAGAGCUAGCGAAUCUCUGCUGGACAGACUGCAUUGUAGAGUCUGACAGCAGCUGGAAGAUAAGACCUCUGAAAUUUCUCCUCGCAUGCUGUUGUUGCAGCAGCGUGUCACUGUAGGAGCUGCUCAGUGCUGCUAGGAUGACCUGCAUGUGGUGGGAGGCAAGAGGAAAAAAAAGAAAAAAGUGGAGGUGAGGGUUGAAUAAAAGGAUUGAAAAAUGCACAAUGUAUCGCCAACUGCUGCACCUGUAAGACAAAAACAAAAGCAAACAUGCAUCUCCUAGAGGCCAACCAUCCUGGUACAAGUCAAGAACUGAGUCCCAGGUGCCCAAGAACCACCUGGUAUCCAGAAAGUGGGGAGAAGCGUCCAGCCAGGAGUGCGGACUGUGUCCAGGGCCAAGCCACAGCAAGCCCCACAAACACAAAUUAUUCGCUCACUCACUCUCACCCACCCAUUAGUGACACACAGAAAACAUAAAGACACAGUGGGAGCUGGUAUGCAAUAGCAAUGACAGCUUAGCCACCAUUUUUCCAGUCACUUCAUGCUUCUGCUGCCUCAACCAUAACACAGGUCUACAAGAUCAGUCUGUUCAGUUUUUUUUCUGUCCUCAGUGGAGCUCUUGCUGGCCCAGCAGAACACACCAUAAAAGAUGACUGAUGUCACUCCAAAGUCAUAGAAGGUCUUCAGGAACUCCAAAAUAAUUGAAUCUGUGUAGCAGAUACAGCUGCUCUGUUAUUUCUGGGACAGAGCAGCUUUCUUCUGUGUAUAUUGUGAAUGGAGUCAGGACUCUUCCCUGUAAGUUGCCUAUGCUGCAGAAUACCCAUUAAGACACAUAAUUGUGGGUCUUUAUGUACUGUAGUUGCUAAGAUAGUCCAGGAUCCGUGUGGUGAGGUGAUGGUCCACACCUGUGUAAUCCACCUUGUCCUUCAGGAUUGUGGGUAUAAUUGUGUUGAAAGCAUUGGAGAAAUCAAAGCACAUGAUUCUCACAGUGCUCCACACACUUUCCAGGUGAGAUCGAUGUAAGAGCUGGAUGACAGCAUCAUCUACCCCAAUGUUGGGCUGAUAGGCAAACUGGACUGAGCUCACCUGGGGCCGAAGAUGAGCAAGGACCAGCCAUCCAGGGUCUCCAUCAGAUGUGAUGUCAGAGCCACCGGCCUGCAGCUGUUGUUCAUUUACAUCUGCCUAACUGAUCAUUUAUCCUCAGCACACUUUGAAAAGUGUGUUUAUGUUCCCUUGCCUGAAACUGGACAAUGUGUAAAAUCUGAAUUCAAACAAAGGUUGGGGAAACCUGCACUGAGCUGAGACAGAAAAAGUCACUUGGAUGAGUGACGUAGCGUUCCUCCUACUGAAAACGCAACGUCCAGAAGAACAAAAUUAACUUUUCGGGACAGGUCCCCAGAUGUUUUCUCCUCUCAGAAUCCUCCUCUGCUCUGAAUUCACAGAUCAUAUCUGUUUUAUCUUACAUACAAUCAUGUGGAGAAGAGUGUUUUCAUAGAAAUCUAUAGCAGCAGUAGUGUCACCAAAUUGUUUCUGUAUGACUCUGUCUGUCACACGGUUGUGCAGUACCUUUGGCUGAUGUUUCUUUACAUUGUUUGGUCAGUUCAUUGAAGUUUGUGGUAUUUGUUUAUGUACAGCUCUCUCAAGCUCCCAGCACUUAUUUUCAGGUUGAGGUCUGGACUGUGAACGGGCCAUUACAACAACUUGAUUCUUUUGUUCAGUCAUUCUGUUGUAGCUUUGCUGAUGUGCUUGGGAUCAUGACCCAAACUCACUUUUGACUCUACAGUACUUGGUAUACAGGGGAGUUCAUAGAAAACUCAAUGACUGCAAGGGGCCCAGGUUCUGUAGCUGCAAAACAAGCUCAAAUCAUCACCCCUUCACCACUGUGCUGACAGCUGGUAUGAGGUGUUUGUGCUGGUAUGCUUUGCAACUUUGCUACCAAACUUGCAGCCAUGCUGUCAUGCUCUUUUUAGAGAGAAGAGACUUUCUCCUUGCAACCCUUCCAAACAAGCCACACUUA